UUUAAGCUUCCUACGGGAGGCUGCAGUGGGGAAUCUUGCGCAAUGGGCGAAAGCCUGACGCAGCCAUGCCGCGUGAAUGAUGAAGGUCUUAGGAUUGUAAAAUUCUUUCACCGGGGACGAUAAUGACGGUACCCGGAGAAGAAGCCCCGGCUAACUUCGUGCCAGCAGCCGCGGUAAUACGAAGGGGGCUAGCGUUGCUCGGAAUUACUGGGCGUAAAGGGAGCGUAGGCGGACAUUUAAGUCAGGGGUGAAAUCCCGGGGCUCAACCUCGGAAUUGCCUUUGAUACUGGGUGUCUUGAGUAUGAGAGAGGUGUGUGGAACUCCGAGUGUAGAGGUGAAAUUCGUAGAUAUUCGGAAGAACACCAGUGGCGAAGGCGACACACUGGCUCAUUACUGACGCUGAGGCUCGAAGAGCGUGGGGAGCAAACAGGAUUAGAUACCCUUGUAGUCGAAUUCUU
This 458-nucleotide ribosomal RNA is filed under the name uncultured bacterium. RNAcentral's name for it is "bacterial SSU rRNA". It matches the Rfam family "Bacterial small subunit ribosomal RNA", at positions 329 to 803 of the family's 1533-position model. The record is from RNAcentral.